RNAcentral lists this small RNA (54 nucleotides) under unclassified sequences. Its description in RNAcentral is "Streptococcus sRNA SpF59 (ldcC RNA)". It matches the Rfam family "Streptococcus sRNA SpF59 (ldcC RNA)". The record is from Rfam by way of RNAcentral.
CGACCGCUAUAGCAAUAUAGCCGAGGCCAGACGGACAGCCGGGUCGAAUGCCGA